AUGGACAGAUUUCUGCUGAAACGAACGGCACCAGAGACUGAUCUGGCAGGGACUUCAAGGCCAGUUAGACUAAGGCAAGAUCAUGCAUCAAAUAUUGGUACUACUACCACAGCAGAUAUUAAUUUGGAUGAACUUCCUUUUGAUCCGGCCAAUCGAAAAAGAAUACCACAGUACACUAAGAAUCCAAAGAAGCAAGAUGAGAUCAGAAGAAUAUAUUUAACUAGAGGACCUUAUAGGCCAAAAGAAGGCUUUGUAUAUCCGCAGAAGACCAUCGGAGGAUUCGAAAGAAGAUUCAAGCCAGAAUGGUUUAAAGAUUAUCAUUGGCUAGAGUACAGUGAUAAAGUGCAUAAGGCAUUUUGCCAAUGUUGCUAUUUCUUCAGAGAUUGCAUCGACGAUCAAGGUGGGAAUGAUGCAUUUGUUGUCAAUGGUUUCUCUAGUUGGAAUAAGAAAUACAGAUUGGAUACUCAUGUGGGUGAGGUUAAUAGCUAUCACAAUGUAGCUGUUAAAAGGUGUGAUGCCUUGAUGAAUCAAGAUCAGUCCAUUAAAGUUGCCCUCAACAAGCAAACUGAUAUCACAAAAAGGCAAAAUCGUAUUCGGUUGAAUACUUCCGUCGAAUCUGUUAGAUACUUAUUACAUCAAGGUUUAGCUUUCCGUGGCAAUGAUGAAUCAGAGGAAUCCAAAAAUAAGGGGAAUUUUCCAGAGUUGGUACAAACAUUAGCAAAUCAGAAUGAGGAUGUGAGGAAUGUAGUUCUUAAGAAUGCUCCAAAAAAUUGCAAAUGGGUGUCUCCAGAUAUUCAAAAGGAACUUGCAAAUUAUUUUGCAAAGAUAACAUUGAAUUCUAUUCUUGAAGAAAUUGGUGGUGAUGUUUUCAGUUUGUUGAUUGAUGAGGCUUCCGAUGUGUCAGACAAAGAACAAAUGGCUGUUGUGUUGAGGUAUGUUGAUAAGCUUGGGUUAAUCCUAGAACGACUAGUUGGGGUAGUACAUGUGAAGGAAACAUCGGCAACGUGUCUCAAGUCAGCCCUUGAGAAAUUGCUUGUUGAUAUUGGAUUAAGCUUCAAACAAGUUAGAGGGCAAUGCUAUGACGGGGCGAGCAAUAUGAGGGGUGAGUUCAAUGGUUUGAAAGCUAAAAUUCUGGAAGAGAAUAAGUCAGCAUAUUACGUGCAUUGUUUUGCUCACCAACUCCAAUUGGUUAUCAUAGCAAUUUCAAAGAAGAAUGAAGAUAUUGCAGAUUUCUUUUACAUGAUUUCUCUUCUGUUUAAUGUGGUUGGAGCUUCUUGCAAAAGAAAAGACAUGAUCAGAGAGACUAAUAGAGAGAAUGUGAAAAAAGCCAUAAGUAGUGGGCGAAUUAGUACCGGCACAGGGUUGAAUCAAGAUCAAUCACUUCAAAGGACGGGAGACACCCGUUGGGGUUCUCACUAUAGAACCCUCUCAAGCCUAAUUCAGUUGUUCCCAUCAAUUGUCAGUGUCCUCAAGUAUGUACCAAAAGAAGGCAAGAAAGAUUCCAAGAAAAGUGAAGCACGUGGUCUUCUAUCAUAUUUUGGAACCUUUGAUUUUGUGUUCUAUUUGCACAUGAUGUUCCAUAUAUUAGGGAGUGCCAACACUCUAUCACAAGCAUUGCAACAAAAGGAUCAAGAUAUCUUGAAUGCAAUGUCAUGUGUGAAGUCAACAAGGAAUGAUCUACAACAACUAAGAGAUAAUGGGUGGGAAUCACUUUUGGAGAAGGUAUAUGCAUUCUGUGAAGAACAUGACAUUCCAAAGCUAAGCAUGCAAGAUGAAUAUGGCAAUCGACAUAAUACACGAAAAAGAACCAAUAUAACAAACCUGCAUCAUUAUCAAAUAGAGUGUCUUAACACUGUUAUUGAUUGGCAACUUCGAGAGUUUGAUGACAGAUUCAAUGAAGUAAAUUCUGCAUUGCUUAUUCACAUGGCUUCUUUCAACCCAAAAAACUCUUUCGCUGCUUUUAACUUGGAGAGUUUGUUGAAGCUAGCUGAGUUUUAUCCUGAGGAUUUUGAUUCAUCAAAAUUGAUGGAUCUUGGACAUGAACUUCGGAUUUACAUUGACAAUGUCCGAGCAGACCAAAGAUUUGCCAAUUUGGAUGGCAUUGCGGAUCUUGCUAAAAAGUUGGUGGAUACUAAGAAGCAUCUUGCUUUCCCUUUGGUGUAUCAACUUCUAAAGCUAGUGCUAAUUUUGCCGGUUGUCACAACGUCAGUGGAGAGAUGCUUUUCAGCAAUGAAUAUUGUGAAGAGUGUUUUACGCAACAAAAUGGGUGACCAGUUCAUGAGUGAUUGCUUGAUUUGCUAUGUGGAGAAAGAUAUAUUUGCUACCAUUACAAAUGACGCCGUAAUUGAUCUAUUUAAGAAGAUGGGAGAUCGAGAAGGCAAGUUAUAA
Molecule: ribosomal RNA, 2388 nt
Filed under: Triticum aestivum (bread wheat)
Lineage: Eukaryota; Viridiplantae; Streptophyta; Magnoliopsida; Poales; Poaceae
Description: partial small subunit ribosomal RNA
Source: RNAcentral